CCUACGGGAGGCAGCAGUGGGGGAUAUUGCACAAUGGGGGAAACCCUGAUGCAGCGACGCCGCGUGUGGGAAGACGGUCCUCUGGAUUGUAAACCACUGUCCCCAGGGACGAAGAUGACGGUACCUGGGGCGGAAGCUCCGGCUAACUACGUGCCAGCAGCCGCGGUAAUACGUAGGGAGCGCGCGUUGUCCGGAAUUACUGGGUGUAAAGGGAGCGUAGGCGGGACUGCAAGUUGGGUGUCAAAUCUACCGGCUCAACCGGUAGCCGCACUCAAAACUGCAGUUCUUGAGUGAAGUAGAGGCAGGCGGAAUGCGUGGUGUAGCGGUGAAAUGCGUAGAUAUUAGGAGGAACACCAGUGGCGAAGGCGGCCUGCUGGGCUUAUACUGACGCUGAGGCUCGAAAGUGUGGGGAGCAAACAGGAUUAGAUACCCCAGUAGUC
Molecule: ribosomal RNA, 440 nt
Filed under: uncultured bacterium
Lineage: Bacteria
Description: partial 16S ribosomal RNA
Rfam family: Bacterial small subunit ribosomal RNA
Source: RNAcentral